This 497-nucleotide ribosomal RNA is filed under the name uncultured bacterium. Its description in RNAcentral is "partial 16S ribosomal RNA". It matches the Rfam family "Bacterial small subunit ribosomal RNA", at positions 28 to 507 of the family's 1533-position model. The record is from RNAcentral.
GAUGAACGCUGGCGGCGUGCCUAAUACAUGCAAGUCGAGCGAACAGAUGAGGAGCUUGCUCCUCUGACGUUAGCGGCGGACGGGUGAGUAACACGUGGAUAACCUACCUAUAAGACUGGGAUAACUUCGGGAAACCGGAGCUAAUACCGGAUAAUAUAUUGAACCGCAUGGUUCAAUAGUGAAAGACGGUUUUGCUGUCACUUAUAGAUGUAUCCGCGCCGCAUUAGCUAGUUGGUAAGGUAACGGCUUACCAAGGCAACGAUGCGUAGCCGACCUGAGAGGGUGGUCGGCCACACUGGAACUGAGACACGGUCCAGACUCCGACGGGAGGCAGCAGUAGGGAAUCUUCCGCAAUGGGCGAAAGCCUGACGGAGCAACGCCACGUGAAUGAUGAAGGUCUUCGGAUCGUAAAACUCUGUUAUUAGGGAAGAACAAAUGUGUAAGUAACUAUGCACGUCUUGACGGUACCUAAUCAGAAAGCCACGGCUAACUACGUG